This is a non-coding RNA of Paramuricea clavata, 724 nucleotides long. NCBI's taxonomy places the organism in Eukaryota, Metazoa, Cnidaria, Anthozoa, Malacalcyonacea, Plexauridae. The record is from the annotation of a GenBank genome assembly.
CUUUGUUACAUUGCUUACACACAUUAUUUAUACAUGAAAAAUACUAAUGUAAGUAUAAUUUUAAACCGUAGAAACAUUUUAGGACGUGUACAUUGUUUCACUAUCUUUUUAAAUUCAAGAAUGUUGUUCUCUAUAUUCUUAAAUGUCGUUAUUUAAGCUAGUUUUAAGACAUCAUAAACCCACAGAUGCAACUACAGUGAAACAUAGCAUGCAACCGUAGGGCGCUUUCCAUUUAAUAGCGAGACCGGUCAGACCAGAAUUUCUCUCUCUGUAUUAAUGGUAAGAUCUGGUUCAGACAAAAAUCUAGUGAAAAUGGGUUUCUGUCAAAAUUGAUCCAAAUUUUCGGAUUAGAUUGGCCCGAAGUCCCAAUGUAGUAUUGUGUUCCAUUCAACAUUUGACCGUUCUGACAGGUCUCGCUGUGUUAAUGGAAAGCGCCCGUAGAUCAUUGUAAUGUAAUUUUAACAUACGUCUAUACAACUAUUGUAACUGCGUCAAACAUUAAACAUACAACCGUAGGCCAAAUCAUUGAAGCUAACGGUCCACACUAGGAACUCUAGAAAAUAUAAAUGAUACAUUGAAAUCAAUUACGAACGUGGACUUGAUAAUUCAGAAAAAAAAACUUAAGGAGGCUCCGUACAGUUUUCCUGAGGCGUAUUAGCCGAAUUAUUCAGACGUCAUUCUCGCGACCCGCGCGUACAAUAUUCGUACCACAAGAUGUGUCACC